Molecule: long non-coding RNA, 2049 nt
Organism: Herpailurus yagouaroundi (jaguarundi)
Lineage: Eukaryota; Metazoa; Chordata; Mammalia; Carnivora; Felidae
Exons: 2
Source: RefSeq, a predicted model, not a curated record
UAUCCCGAUCACCUUUUAACCAUGACAGACUGGCAGCAGAGUUGGGGGCGCAGUGCACAGGGAGCCGCUUGAGAGUGGGGUGUUCACCUGAUGGCUUAUCAUCCUCGAGUACCUUCAGGUGUAGCUCUAAAGUCUAGGACUUUCUCCUCGAUGGCAGCUGGGAAAUUACCGCAGACACGUUGCUACUGUCCGAGCCUCAGACCCCAUUGAGGUUUCCCCCGUCGUACCACAGUCCCUGUUAUAGCAGACAGUCUAGUUUUGGAUCACAGUUUGGAUCUAAUUGUCACGUCUCUUUGGUCUCCUUCAUUCUGGGACAAUUUCUCAGUCUUUUCUUGACUUCCACGACCUUGACAUUUGAAAAUGAUUAUAGAUCAGUUGUUGUUGUUUUGUAGAAUGUCUCUGCAUUUGGGUUUGUCUGCUGUUUUCCCAGGAUUAGAUUCAGGUCGUGCGUCUUUUGCAGGAGUGAUGCUAUGUUCUCCUCCCUGCAUCCUCGUGGGCGCACGAUUUAGUUUGUCCCAUUGCUGGUAACGUCGCUUUGAUCACUUGGCCGAGGUGGUGACUCCUCGACUUCAGUGUGAAGUCACUCCUUUUCCUUAUAAUUAAUAAGUGUUUUAGGGGAAGUGCUUUGAAACUCUGUACCUAUCCCAUUCCUUACCAGAUUUUCAGUUUUUUGUUUCCCAUUUGAUUUAGUGAAUUAUACUCUUACUGUAAUUGUUUAUUUUGAUAUUAAAAUUCUCUAGAUUUGGCCACUCGGGGCCCAUUCAGGCUGGCUGUUAUGUCCUUUUUUCUGUGCUGCCAUCAUUUUUGGGGCACUUGUGCUUUUGAGCACAACAAGCUGUCCAGAUUCAUUUUGUAAUCCCCUCACACAGCCGUGGAAUCGGCCAUUUCUCUGCGAGCCUGGUACUCUUUAGUGGAGAAUGGUAUUUAGAAGCCAAGGUGUAGUCUCUGGAUAUGCCCGUUGUUAAUUGAGGAGUUGUGUUCCCCAGUCUGUCACUGGACAGCUCUAGGGCGCGCACGCACACACACACACACACACACACACACCCCUUUAUUUCUGGGCCUGUGCGUACAUACUGAAAACUGUGAGUUCGCAUCCAAUUCCAAUCCAACACCACAGAAUUCAGUCGCAGUUCCUCCAUUUCUGUUUUUGUAACGUUUUCCUUUGAUGGUGAGAAACUCGGCUCCUGUUGUUGUGGUAUUUUUACUUAUUUUCAGUCCUCUCGCCUGUAACCGACCUUCCCGUCAGUGUCUCAUUUUUGCCACCCCCACAUCCCCCUGUGCGGAGCCCUGAGUUCCCCAUGCCAGGUGGGCCCCUGGUGUGGGUGCCCUCCUCACCCUGCCUGGGCCGCUCCCCUACGUAGAUGCUCUGCCCACCUUGCUUCAGCUCUGGCUUUGCCCAGGCCAUUUUUGGUCUUCUCCUCCUUCUGGGUCCAUCCCUGCACAUGCACUUAAGGCUUUAGGACUGAAUUAUUCAGGAAGGGAAGCAGAGGGGCAGGAGAGAGAAAGAGCCAUCAUCGCUUUUUAAAAUCUCUAUGAUUUUUUUUUUUUUUUAGAUUUUACAAUAAAAAUAACUAUUUGCUCUAAAUGAGGAUGAACUGAUCUAUUAAAGGUAGAAGAGGAACUUUAGCUUCUUAAUUUUGAGGAAAGGGUUUGUGGGUUGUUUUUGUUUUUGUUUUUGUUUUUCUAAAUUUGCCUCAGGAAUUUUGGCUGUAAGGUUACUGUAUGUCCCAUAGUAGUUGUGACACAUAAAGAGGAAUUUGGCUGUGAAAUGGAUUUUCAUAAACUUUAGCCUGAAAAAACCACGCAUGUUUAACCUAAUGUGUGAAAAUCUAAUCAGUCAAGUUGUUGAUUAACCGUCCACCUGUGAUCUUUUCUACUCUUUUGUGGCUCCUGUAGCUGCCACUAGCAAUCUGUUUCUUUGUCCUUCAGCCGUGACCUUUAUGACCUCUAUAUGUAAAAUUGAAGAUAGAAACCAUUCUGCAGUGGCAUUACCUAUUCUUUUGAGCUUUUUCUUUUCCUUUAUUUUAUAAUUAUUUUUUUUAAUCAUUU